Molecule: transfer RNA, 75 nt
Filed under: Acidimicrobiia bacterium
Lineage: Bacteria; Bacillati; Actinomycetota; Acidimicrobiia
Description: tRNA-Ile
Rfam family: tRNA
About the family: Transfer RNA (tRNA) molecules are approximately 80 nucleotides in length. Their secondary structure includes four short double-helical elements and three loops (D, anti-codon, and T loops).
Source: RNAcentral
GGGCCCAUAGCUCAGCCCGGUUAGAGCGCUGCCCUGAUAAGGCAGAGGUCCCUGGUUCAAGUCCAGGUGGGCCCA